ACAGCAGUAGCCGCGGGAAUACGAAGGGUGCAAGCGUUACUCGGAAUUACUGGGCGUAAAGCGUGCGUAGGUGGUGGUUUAAGUCCGUUGUGAAAGCCCUGGGCUCAACCUGGAAAUUGCAGUGGAUACUGGGUCACUAGAGUAUGGUAGAGGAUAGUGGAAUUUCCGGUGUAGCAGUGAAAUGCGUAGAGAUCGGAAGGAACAUCUGUGGCGAAGGCGACUAUCUGGGCCAACACUGACACUGAGGCACGAAAGCGUGGGGAGCAAACAGGAUUAGAUACCCCUGUAGUCCCUGUCUCUUAUAC
RNAcentral lists this ribosomal RNA (305 nucleotides) under uncultured bacterium. RNAcentral describes it as "partial 16S ribosomal RNA". It matches the Rfam family "Bacterial small subunit ribosomal RNA", at positions 508 to 807 of the family's 1533-position model. The record is from RNAcentral.